RNAcentral lists this ribosomal RNA (795 nucleotides) under uncultured archaeon. Its description in RNAcentral is "bacterial SSU rRNA". It matches the Rfam family "Archaeal small subunit ribosomal RNA", at positions 85 to 879 of the family's 1478-position model. The record is from RNAcentral.
ACUGCUCAGUAACACGUGGACAACCUACCCUGAGGUCGGGGAUAAACCCGGGAAACUGGGUAUAAUACCCGAUAGAUCUAGAUCGCUGGAAUGCUUUUAGGUCUAAAGUUCCGACGCCUCAGGAUGGGUCUGCGGCCUAUCAGGGUAGUAGUGGGUGUAAAGUACCUACUAGCCCACGACGGGUACGGGUUGUGAGAGCAAGAGCCCGGAGAUGGAUUCUGAGACACGAAUCCAGGCCCUACGGGGUGCAGCAGGCGCGAAACCUUUACAAUGCUGGCAACAGCGAUAAGGGGACCUCGAGUGCUACGAUACAAUCGUGGCUGUCUAGUUGCCUAAAAAGCAAUUGAUAGCAAGGGCCGGGCAAGACCGGUGCCAGCCGCCGCGGUAACACCGGCGGCUCGAGUGGUAACCGCUAUUAUUGGGUCUAAAGGGUCUGUAGCCGGCUUAGUUAGUCUCUUGAGAAAUCUGGCCGCUCAACGGUCAGGCGUUCAGGGGAUACUGCUGAAGCUCGAGACCGGGAGAGGUGAGAGGUACUUCAGGGGUAGGGGUGAAAUCUUGUAAUCCUUGAAGGACCACCAGUGGCGAAGGCGUCUCACCAGAACGGAUCUGACGGCAAGGGACGAAAGCUAGGGGCACGAACCGGAUUAGAUACCCGGGUAGUCCUAGCCGUAAACGAUACUCGCUAGGUGUCGGCCACGGUGCGACCGUGGUCGGUGCCGUAGGGAAGCCGUGAAGCGAGCCACCUGGGAAGUACGGCCGCAAGGCUGAAACUUAAAGGAAUUGGCGGGGGAGCAC